This 454-nucleotide ribosomal RNA is filed under the name uncultured bacterium. Its description in RNAcentral is "bacterial SSU rRNA". It matches the Rfam family "Bacterial small subunit ribosomal RNA", at positions 349 to 793 of the family's 1533-position model. The record is from RNAcentral.
CAGCUAGUGGGAAUAUUGCACAAUGGGGGAAACCCUGAUGCAGCCAUGCCGCGUGUGUGAAGAAGGCCUUCGGGUUGUAAAGCACUUUCAGUAGGGAGGAAGGUAGUGUAGUUAACACCUUGCAUUAUUUGACGUUACCUACAGAAGAAGCACCGGCUAACUCCGUGCCAGCAGCCGCGGUAAUACGGAGGGUGCGAGCGUUAAUCGGAAUUACUGGGCGUAAAGCGCAUGCAGGCGGCCUGUUAAGUCAGAUGUGAAAGCCCGGGGCUUAACCUCGGAAUUGCAUUUGUAAACUGGCAGGCUAGAGUCUUGUAGAGGGGGUAGAAUUUCAGGUGUAGCGGUGAAAUUGCGUAGAGAUCUGAAGGAAUACCAGUGGCGAAGGCGGCCCCCUGGACAGAUACUGACGCUCAGAUGCGAAAGCGUGGGGAGCAAACAGGAUUAGAUACCCUGGUAG